AGAGUUUGAUCAUGGCUCAGAUUGAACGCUGGCGGCAUGCCUUACACAUGCAAGUCGAACGGCAGCACGGGGGCAACCCUUGGUGGCGAGUGGCGAACGGGUGAGUAAUACAUCGGAAACGUGUCCUGGAGUGGGGGAUAGCCCGGCGAAAGCCGGAUUAAUACCGCAUACGAUCUUGGGAUGAAAGCGGGGGACCGAAAGGCCUCGCGCUCAAGGGGCGGCCGAUGGCAGAUUAGCUAGUUGGUGGGGUAAAGGCCUACCCAGGCGACGAUCUGUAGCUGGUCUGAGAGGACGACCAGCCACACUGGGACUGAGACACGGCCCAGACUCCUACGGGAGGCAGCAGUGGGGAAUUUUGGACAAUGGGGGCAACCCUGAUCCAGCAAUGCCGCGUGUGUGAAGAAGGCCUUCGGGUUGUAAAGCACUUUUGUCCGGAAAGAAAACCUCCGUCCUAAUACGGUGGGGGGAUGACGGUACCGGAAGAAUAAGCACCGGCUAACUACGUGCCAGCAGCCGCGGUAAUACGUAGGGUGCAAGCGUUAAUCGGAAUUACUGGGCGUAAAGCGUGCGCAGGCGGUUCGCUAAGACCGAUGUGAAAUCCCCGGGCUUAACCUGGGAACUGCAUUGGUGACUGGCGGGCUAGAGUAUGGCAGAGGGGGGUAGAAUUCCACGUGUAGCAGUGAAAUGCGUAGAGAUGUGGAGGAAUACCGAUGGCGAAGGCAGCCCCCUGGGCCAAUACUGACGCUCAUGCACGAAAGCGUGGGGAGCAAACAGGAUUAGAUACCCCCGUAGUCC
RNAcentral lists this ribosomal RNA (795 nucleotides) under uncultured bacterium. Its description in RNAcentral is "bacterial SSU rRNA". It matches the Rfam family "Bacterial small subunit ribosomal RNA", at positions 8 to 796 of the family's 1533-position model. The record is from RNAcentral.